AAACUGCAGUUGUAAUCCAGGAUUCACGGGCCUGUAGGGGCUCAGACUUCAAAUUGAACCGCGCCUCGGCGGCAGCCACAGGUGUAAUACACGAGGCCCAGGUACCAGAAGGUGUCCAGCAGGGCCUUGGCGGCGCCCUAGCAGCUGAGGUCCAGCCGCUGCGCGCCCAGGUUCAUCUCAUUAGUGGACGCCGCGGGCCCGCGAGUUCGGAGCAGCGCGUGUAUCUGUGGGUCUUUGGGGCUGGCCUCGCUAGCCUACCAGCUUCCUUUCGGUGAUGCUCUUUGCUACCGCCAGGCUCCUGACCCCAGCUUGGACAGCAGGCCGCCGAGCGCCCCUGACGCCCGUUACCGAGAUGGCUGCGCAGAAGGAGUGGCUGUGGGGCUGUGAUCUCUCCUAGAACCUCAGAGGCAUGAAGCUAGAAUAUCUUCCCCUUCAAGGAGAAUAAGCCAAGGGUAUAUGAGACAAGGACCUGGGGAGUUGGCCUCUUUGGUUCAUUCUUUGUACUGUUUAUCUAUGGUUGUUGCGGCCUUUGUUGAUGACAUUCAGCAUUGACUUCUUGGGUAAGGUAUUCAGUAGUUAAGAUUCAAUGACUCCAGUGAAAGGUAUGUUUCCAUCGUGAUGUUCUUCUUCUGGACAAUAAGUGAAAAGAGCAUGUGAGUACCUCUCUCACUCCCAGCAAAUAAUUGUUGUGUCACCUCCACAUGUUUCUUCACGAUUCGAGGCUUUGAUUUCCCCUGCAAGACAAAAUGCAAUGAAGUGAUACAGAAAAAAAGAAAUUCUAUGCUGUCAUCACACUAGACCAUGAUGUUGAUUUAUGGAUGGUCUGCUUUCUUAUAUGCACUUAAUAUUUUUGUACAAGCAAACCUGAAAAGUGUCAAAAUCCCCUUUAACAGAUUAACAGGCUGAGAUGGGUUAAAGUGAGCAAGCCGGGAAGUGGUGGAGCUGGGAUCCACACCCUGGUCUGUCUGAGUCCAGAUGUAAUCAUCUUGCAUUCACUAUGGCAUGUUUCCCUUAUGUUAAGGGUUGCUGACAUAGACAGUGCAUGUCAUUCCUUUUGGUAUGGUCUUCCUCCUUUCUAGCUUUUUUCUGCCUGGAAGAUCCAGGCACCCAAGAGAAUGGAGCUUCCAUGUAAAUUUGCAGAAUCCCUAGGAUGAAAGCGGAGAGGAUCUACCCUGAAACCAACAAGUCUAGGAUGCACAUCUCUGCCUUUUUUUCAGAAUUAGGAAGGGGCAGGCAGAUGGGCAAUUGACAGGAAUAGUAGAAGCAUCCUCGGGGAAGUUGGCUACUUUACUUAGUGAGAAAGCAAUGGAAAGUGACAUUUGUAACUGAGUUUUAAGUGAAGUACAGUCCUAAGAGAGGAGCUCUGAAAAACAGCUGUUACCUGAGAUUGGGAAUGUUAAAGACCUUCUCAGAGCCUGACUGUACUCACAGCUGGACCUAGCUAUCAGAAGAGGGACUGCAACAUACCUGAGAAACUUUCAGAAUACUUAACGGAAGCAGAGUCAGGGGAAGUGAUUUUGAUAGUAGUCCAUGAGAAAAAAAUACGGUGUUUUAAAAUGCAAAUGAACUAAAAUUUAAAUCCUGCUCUCUCAGUAGCUAUGCAGCCUUAGGCGAGUUAAUAUCUUUGACCUUAGUAUUUCUCAGGUGUAAAGAGGGAUAAUUACCUACUCAGAACUUCACCUCUCCCAAGAAAGCUUUCCUGACCAUGUGCUGGCCCUUCCUUUACAUUGGGAUUAAAGUACCCCCCCCCGUUUUUCCAGGCUUUCUUGACUUUAAUUCUGUCAUAGCUCUAAUUAAGAACCUCUGUAAUGAUCUGUCUGCAAGCUUGUGAGAAAUUUGAGGACUGGGAACCAGCCUGAAACAUGUCUGUUCCCCUCUGAGUCAACACAGUGCCUGGGAUCUGGUGUCCAGUAGGGAUUUAAAGCAUAUUGAUUGAAUGAGAAAUGAUGACAGGAUCUACAUGGAUCACAAAGGAUAGUUGUUAUUUUACCUGUUAACUAUUUAAUAGCGAAAUUAAAUGAAAUAUGAAUUAACCUAGGACCAGGGAAGGUGGGGUAAGUUGUGUCUUUCACAUCAACCUUCAUAUGUUCCCCAAUUUUUUCUUCCUUCAUGUACCUAGGACACUCUUGUUCAAACACAAAGGUGGUUUUAUUUUGGGUCUAUACUAGCUAGUUCCCUAGAAAGGUCUUAAAUACAAAAUGAAUGGAAUACAAAAUAACCUCCCUCAUUGUUUUUUUUCCCGGACAAAUGACAGGAUGCAUACAGAACUGCUACUUUUGUGAUGUUGCAAGUAAUGGUAUAGAUGUGCACAAAUCAUGGAUGUGGUCCCAGUGAUCCAUGGAAAUGUGAAGUCCAGAAGCUCCUCGUCUUAGAGGUUGUUCUCCUGCUCCUUUGGUCAAGUGCUGGAAAAUUCAACACUAAUUUCUGCAGAGGUAGAGGAAUGGAGUUUGUUUCAAGUCCUUGUGAAGGGAUAGAAUGAUUGGUACUUACAGCUG
RNAcentral lists this long non-coding RNA (2495 nucleotides) under Homo sapiens (human). RNAcentral's name for it is "HSALNT0407573". Lineage: Eukaryota; Metazoa; Chordata; Mammalia; Primates; Hominidae. The record is from RNAcentral.